The sequence is a small nucleolar RNA, 114 nucleotides long. It matches the Rfam family "Small nucleolar RNA Z13/snr52". Rfam says of the family: Z13 or snr52 is a member of the C/D class of snoRNA which contain the C (UGAUGA) and D (CUGA) box motifs. Most of the members of the box C/D family function in directing site-specific 2'-O-methylation of substrate RNAs. The record is from Rfam.
AACCUCGACGUGAUGAACCAUUUACGGAUGUAAAGCUGUCGUUCGCGACACGUCAUUGUCCGAGAGCGCAAAACCGUGUGGAUGUCUCCGUUGCCUUCCUACUGAUCCCGAGGU